This 373-nucleotide ribosomal RNA is filed under the name uncultured eukaryote. RNAcentral describes it as "partial 18S ribosomal RNA". It matches the Rfam family "Eukaryotic small subunit ribosomal RNA", at positions 592 to 976 of the family's 1831-position model. The record is from RNAcentral.
CAAUAGCGUAUAUUAAAGUUGUUGCAGUUAAAAAGCUCGUAGUUGAAUUUUUGCUUGCCGCCGAUGUCGGAACUUCCGUACGUUCGGCGGCGUGCAUCCUUGGGUGGAACCUGUGUGGCAUUAGGUUGUCGUGCAGGGGAUGCUCAUCGUUUACUGUGAAAAAAUUAGAGUGUUCAAAGCAGGCUUACGCCGUUGAAUAUAUUAGCAUGGAAUAAUAAGAUAGGACCUUGGUACUAUUUUGUUGGUUUGCGCACCGAGGUAAUGAUUGACAGGGACAGUUGGGGGUAUUCGUAUUCCAUUGUCAGAGGUGAAAUUCUUGGAUUUCUGGAAGACGAACUACUGCGAAAGCAUUUACCAAGGAUGUUUUCAUUAA